This is a long non-coding RNA of Daphnia magna, 1514 nucleotides long. RefSeq lists it as uncharacterized. The transcript is spliced from 4 exons. The record is from RefSeq and is a predicted model, not a curated record. Lineage: Eukaryota; Metazoa; Arthropoda; Branchiopoda; Diplostraca; Daphniidae.
UCGAGAUCUCUGACAACAGAGAAACGAUGUCUUCGACUUUCUAAAAAGUCACCCCUCUGGCGCCCCAAGCAAUACGGGGAGUUGACCGUUGCGGGAAAAACCCCCCUUGUUCUCGAACAAAGAGGAAGGUCAAGUUGACCGUUGGAAAGGACGCUACCACGACCCACGCCAACCAAGGAAAAAAUGCUUCCUCAAGACCUAAUAAAUAGGACUAGAUUUAGCUUGCCCCUUCAGUCUUCUCUUCUCUCUCUCGCCAGUUGUGCCGAUCUGUUCCGACCUGUGCCAGCCUAAAUACAAUGCGGGGCUAGGGUAAAUACCUAACGUAAAAGGAAACAGCAUCAUCCGACAAACGAGGAAAAAACUCGUCGGUCAAGGUUGCAAAAUUGAAAACAAAAAUCACCCAACCAAUUAUAAUUGUUUAAUUUUGAGGACGAAAAUUGAACGAAAACCUCAAGCGAACGAGACAAAGUCUAAACCUAAACCGAAGCUGAAGGUACAUUGCAUUGAUUGAUUAACACAUAACAGUGUACAAACAUAACCCGCAAGAAAGAAGUUCCUCGUGCCCGUAUUCGUUGCGUGCCACACAUCGUCCGUGUUGAUCAGCCGGUAUAUUUGCGAACGCGGACAAUGAUAAGACUCAAACAAACUAGGCCGAAUAUCCAGCAGAGGCUGGUGACGACGCCCAUGUAGACUUUGGGAUGUCCAAUGCCCCAACCGCGCCCCAAAAUAUUUCUCAGCGCUUGCAUGGCGUACGUUUGCGGCAUCAAAUGGGCCAGGUGACGCACGUAAGUGGGCAUAGCCUCCGUUGGCCAUAACAUGCCGCUCAUAAUGAUGUUCGUGUAAUUUGUGCCCAGUGUGAUCUGAAUAGCGCUGGUCUCUUCGUCACACAAGGCCGAAACGAGAAGACCUGCGCGCAUGUUAAAAUCAAUUGAAAAAAUUGAAUAAUGUGCAAGAUGAUGGCUAUUAGCGUUUACCAAACGACAUGCCACACAAUCCUUGAAGAAGGGUGAUGAAAAUCACGAGAGCAAGGUUGCCGUGACAAGCCGUGUUAAAGACGAUGAGCGCGAACAGGUAAACGAAAAACGUCUGGCCAAGCAGAAGGAUCAACUGGUUAACGAGUCCGGAUUUUCGUUCAGUCAGGAAGACAGCAGACGUCAGAGCAACGGAAAGAAAAUAGAUAAUCCUUUGCAAACAAAGAGCGUGAUGAAUGUCAAGGAACUUGCUAUGAAAGUUGAUUUGCUAAAUGAAUAUUUGAUUUUCUAAGCCGUAGAUCGCUUACCCCAGGAUAACACCGGGCGUUACGUAUUCGGUGAACGAUGGCUUUCUUUCUCCGUAGAUGGGAUCCAAAAACUGGACGCAUCGAUGUCAACAUAAAAGAAAAAUGUUAACGCACGCUUAUGAAUAUUUACACCUUAUUAUUAUUAAAUUUUUUAAAAAGUUCAAUACAUACCGUAACAGGGAUGCUUUGGGCCAUGGGCUGAUAAGAACAUGCUGCCAAGAUGUCCUUACUGAAA